GAUGAACGCUGGCGGCGUGCCUAAUACAUGCAAGUCGAGCGAACAGACGAGGAGCUUGCUCCUCUGACGUUAGCGGCGGACGGGUGAGUAACACGUGGAUAACCUACCUAUAAGACUGGGAUAACUUCGGGAAACCGGAGCUAAUACCGGAUAAUAUAUUGAACCGCAUGGUUCAAUAGUGAAAGACGGUUUUGCUGUCACUUAUAGAUGGAUCCGCGCCGCAUUAGCUAGUUGGUAAGGUAACGGCUUACCAAGGCAACGAUGCGUAGCCGACCUGAGAGGGUGAUCGGCCACACUGGAACUGAGACACGGUCCAGACUCCUACGGGAGGCAGCAGUAGGGAAUCUUCCGCAAUGGGCGAAAGCUUGACGGAGCAACGCCGCGUGAGUGAUGAAGGUCUUCGGAUCGUAAAACUCUGUUAUUAGGGAAGAACAAAUGUGUAAGUACUAUGCACGUCUUGACGGUACCUAAUCAGAAAGCCACGGCUAACUACGUG
RNAcentral lists this ribosomal RNA (496 nucleotides) under uncultured bacterium. RNAcentral's name for it is "partial 16S ribosomal RNA". It matches the Rfam family "Bacterial small subunit ribosomal RNA", at positions 28 to 507 of the family's 1533-position model. The record is from RNAcentral.